Molecule: ribosomal RNA, 313 nt
Filed under: uncultured bacterium
Lineage: Bacteria
Description: bacterial SSU rRNA
Rfam family: Bacterial small subunit ribosomal RNA
Source: RNAcentral
GAUGAACGCUGGCGGCGUGCCUAACACAUGCAAGUCGAGCGGGAUCUUCCGGAUUGAAGCUUCGGCAGAUUGAAGGAAGUGAGAGCGGCGGACGGGUGAGUAACGCGUAGGCAACCUGCCCUUUGCAGAGGGAUAGCCAUUGGAAACGAUGAUUAAUACCGCAUAAGAUUGUAGCUUCGCAUGAAGUAGCAAUUAAAGGAGCAAUCCGCUAUGAGAUGGGCCCGCGGCGCAUUAGCUAGUUGGUGAGUAACGGCUCACCAAGGCGACGAUGCGUAGCCGACCUGAGAGGGUGAUCGGCCACAUUGGGACUGAG